GGUGAGGGUGGAUGAGUGGCUGAAAUCACUUCCCUGCUAAGGAAGCAUACCUAUUACUGGUAUCGAGGGUUCGAAUCCCUCUCUCACCGCCA
This 92-nucleotide transfer RNA is filed under the name Acinetobacter nosocomialis. RNAcentral describes it as "tRNA-Ser". It matches the Rfam family "tRNA". From Rfam's summary of the family: Transfer RNA (tRNA) molecules are approximately 80 nucleotides in length. Their secondary structure includes four short double-helical elements and three loops (D, anti-codon, and T loops). Lineage: Bacteria; Pseudomonadati; Pseudomonadota; Gammaproteobacteria; Moraxellales; Moraxellaceae. The record is from RNAcentral.